Molecule: ribosomal RNA, 497 nt
Filed under: uncultured bacterium
Lineage: Bacteria
Description: partial 16S ribosomal RNA
Rfam family: Bacterial small subunit ribosomal RNA
Source: RNAcentral
GAUGAACGCUGGCGGCGUGCCUAAUACAUGCAAGUCGAGCGAACGGACGAGAAUUUUGCUUCUCUGAUGUUAGCGGCGGACGGGUGAGUAACACGUGGAUAACCUACCUAUAAGACUGGGAUAACUUCGGGAAACCGGAGCUAAUACCGGAUAAUAUUUUGAACCGCAUGGUUCAAAAGUGAAAGACGGUCUUGCUGUCACUUAUAUAUGGAUCCGCGCUGCAUUAGCUAGUUGGUAAGGUAACGGCUUACCAAGGCAACGAUGCAUAGCCGACCUGAGAGGGUGAUCGGCCACACUGGAACUGAGACACGGUCCAGACUCCUACGGGAGGCAGCAGUAGGGAAUCUUCCGCAAUGGGCGAAAGCCUGACGGAGCAACGCCGCGUGAGUGAUGAAGGUCUUCGGAUCGUAAAACUCUGUUAUUAGGGAAGAACAUAUGUGUAAGUAACUGUGCACAUCUUGACGGUACCUAAUCAGAAAGCCACGGCUAACUACGUG